RNAcentral lists this ribosomal RNA (263 nucleotides) under uncultured bacterium. RNAcentral's name for it is "partial 16S ribosomal RNA". It matches the Rfam family "Bacterial small subunit ribosomal RNA", at positions 29 to 319 of the family's 1533-position model. The record is from RNAcentral.
AAUGAACGCUGGCGGCAUGCCUAACACAUGCAAGUCGAACGAGACCUUCGGUCUAGUGGCGCACGGGUGCGUAACGCGUGGGAAUCUACCCUUGGGUUCGGAAUAACAGUUAGAAAUGACUGCUAAUACCGGAUGAUGACGUAAGUCCAAAGAUUUAUUCGCCCAGGAUGAGCCCGCGUAGGAUUAGCUAGUUGGUGAGGUAAAAGACUCACCAAGGCGACGAUCCUUAGCUGGUCUGAGAGGAUGAUCAGCCACACUGGGAC